CCAUGAGAACCUUGAUUUGUAAUAACAGCUCUUCCCCCACCCCAGGCUGUUCCCUAGCUGGGAUUUCAUUUCCCCAUGGCACAGACUAAUAAUUAAGAGGCCUUGGAAGAGCAGGGAGGGAGGGGUCAGGUUUCCCCCCCAUCAAGCAGAGGGGGCGGAUGACGGAGGCCGGAUGGUUUAUAGGGAGCUGGAGGUCGGGAAGCUGCAUCCCAGCUGCAGAGAUUGCUUAAUUCCAGCUGCAGUGAGUGGGGCUGGGCUGGUGUUCGGGGCUCAGUGGGGCUGGGGUGGCGUGUGGAGGCAGUGGGACUGGAGCAGUGUGCAAAGAGGGGAAUGGGGGCUUGUUGGCCAGGAUGGGGGACCUGGGACACGCCAAGCCCAGUGACCAUGCGGCCUGCAGUGUCCAUCGCACUGAUCCUCGUGGCUCUGACGGUCCUGGCAGACUCUGCUCAGGCUCAACCCACAGAGCCAACCCUGACCAAAAAGUUGGAGAACUUCCAGAACAAGCUGCAGGCCUUUGCUGACAGCAUUGCAGAUAAAACCAAAGCCGCCUUCCAAGAACUGCAUCACAGCGAGUUCAGCGAAAAGACCCGGAACUGGUUCUCUGAGCAAUUCCAGAAGAUGAAGGAGAAGUUCAAUGAGCAGUUUUCCAGGGACUGAUCUGACUGAGAGGGUUUUUUUUUCUGCAGAGCUCACAGGCAAUUCCUGGGGUACUGCUCCCCUUGAAGAGAUCAUGCUGGGAGGGGAACCCAGGGUUGGCACCCAAGUUCCUGUUUUCUAUUGCUUUUGUUGUAGCCAUGAAUAAAUGCUGAUUGCCUUAGUGCUGGGUUUGUAUC
RNAcentral lists this long non-coding RNA (833 nucleotides) under Chrysemys picta bellii (western painted turtle). RNAcentral's name for it is "lncRNA (ENSCPBG00000014721.1)". The record is from RNAcentral. Lineage: Eukaryota; Metazoa; Chordata; Testudines; Emydidae.